CAGCCGCCACGGUAAUACAGAGGAUGCAAGCGUUAUCCGGAAUGACUGGGCGUAAAGCGUCUGUAGGUGGCUUUUCAAGUCCGCCGUCAAAUCCCAGGGCUCAACCCUGGACAGGCGGUGGAAACUACCAAGCUGGAGUACGGUAGGGGCAGAGGGAAUUUCCGGUGGAGCGGUGAAAUGCGUAGAUAUCGGAAGGAACACCUGUGGCGAAAGCGGCUCACUGGACAAUAACUGACGCUGAUGCACGAAAGCUAGGGGAGCAAACAGGAUUAGAUACCCGCGUAGUCCCUGUCUCUUAUAC
Molecule: ribosomal RNA, 301 nt
Filed under: uncultured bacterium
Lineage: Bacteria
Description: partial 16S ribosomal RNA
Rfam family: Bacterial small subunit ribosomal RNA
Source: RNAcentral